AUAGUUGAACUCCUCAUCUCAAGG
Molecule: small nuclear RNA, 24 nt
Filed under: Arabidopsis thaliana (thale cress)
Lineage: Eukaryota; Viridiplantae; Streptophyta; Magnoliopsida; Brassicales; Brassicaceae
Description: snRNA_16978
Source: RNAcentral